UGGGGUUUUGGCUCAGUGAUAGAGUGCUCAUCUAGCAUGUGUGAGGCACUGGGUUCAAUCCUCAGCACCACAU
Molecule: transfer RNA, 73 nt
Filed under: Marmota monax (woodchuck)
Lineage: Eukaryota; Metazoa; Chordata; Mammalia; Rodentia; Sciuridae
Description: tRNA.Ala
Source: RNAcentral